UGGAGGGCAAGUCUGGUGCCAGCAGCCGCGGUAAUUCCAGCUCCAAUAGCGUAUAUUAAAGUUGUUGCAGUUAAAAAGCUCGUAGUUGAAUUUCGGGAUCAAUAUGUCGGUCGUGCCUUCGGUACGUACUGGUAUCAUUGGUCUCUCCUUUCUGACGAACCAUGAUGUCAUUAAUUUGGUGUUAUGGGGAGUUAGGACUGUUACUUUGAAAAAAUUAGAGUGUUUAAAGCAGGCUUUAGCUUGAAUACAUUAGCAUGGAAUAAUGGAAUAGGACGUUCGAACCUAUUUUGUUGGUUUCUAGGAUCAACGUAAUGAUUAAUAGGGAUAGUUGGGGGCAUUAGUAUUCAAUUGUCAGAGGUGAAAUUCUUGGAUUUAUUGAAGACUAACUACUGCGAAAGCAUUUGCCAAGGAUGUUUUCAUUAAUCAAGAACGAAAGUUAGGGGAUCGAAGACGAUCAGAUACCGUCGUAGUCUUAACCAUAAACUAUGCCGACUAGGGAUCGGAUGAUGUUAAUUUUUUAAUGACUCAUUCGGCGCCUUACGGGAAAC
Molecule: ribosomal RNA, 548 nt
Filed under: uncultured Glomus
Lineage: Eukaryota; Fungi; Glomeromycota; Glomeromycetes; Glomerales; Glomeraceae
Description: SSU rRNA
Rfam family: Eukaryotic small subunit ribosomal RNA
Source: RNAcentral